RNAcentral lists this ribosomal RNA (467 nucleotides) under uncultured bacterium. Its description in RNAcentral is "bacterial SSU rRNA". It matches the Rfam family "Bacterial small subunit ribosomal RNA", at positions 334 to 793 of the family's 1533-position model. The record is from RNAcentral.
CCAUCCUACGGGAGGCAGCAGUGGGGAAUAUUGCACAAUGGGCGCAAGCCUGAUGCAGCCAUGCCGCGUGUAUGAAGAAGGCCUUCGGGUUGUAAAGUACUUUCAGCAGUGAGGAAGGUGGGUAUGUUAAUAGCAUAUUCAUUUGACGUUAGCUGCAGAAGAAGCACCGGCUAACUCCGUGCCAGCAGCCGCGGUAAUACGGAGGGUGCGAGCGUUAAUCGGAAUUACUGGGCGUAAAGCGCAUGCAGGUGGUUUGUUAAGUCAGAUGUGAAAGCCCGGGGCUCAACCUCGGAAUUGCAUUUGAAACUGGCAAACUAGAGUACUGUAGAGGGGGUAGAAUUUCAGGUGUAGCGGUGAAAAUGCGUAGAGAUCUGAAGGAAUACCGGUGGCGAAGGCGGCCCCCUGGACAGAUACUGACACUCAGAUGCGAAAGCGUGGGGAGCAAACAGGAUUAGAUACCCUGGUAG